GCCAAGAAGUCAAACAGUGGAUACUCCUGCAAAGCAACUUGUCUGGCACUUUCAGAGCAGAAGAGGGAAAAGUGUGACUGAAGAGAGACAGCUGCUCUGUGGAAUCAUUUCCCGAGUCUACGCUGUCGACCUAAGGUUGAGUAAGCGAUGGAAGGGAAGAUGCCUAUCAAAGCCAAGGUUGUGGAAGACUCCGAGCCUCCCGAGAGAUCCUGCGAUGAAAACGUACAUAUGAUGAACAUUUACGAUCUGCUGACUAUCAAGGAUUUCCCACUAAGUCUGCUGUCCCUCCUGUCCUGAGGAACUCGCCUGAGUUAUAGAAGGUCUUUUCUCCUUCCCUUUUCUCGCCAGUGUG
This is a long non-coding RNA of Ailuropoda melanoleuca (giant panda), 352 nucleotides long. RefSeq lists it as uncharacterized. The record is from RefSeq and is a predicted model, not a curated record. The transcript has 3 exons. Lineage: Eukaryota; Metazoa; Chordata; Mammalia; Carnivora; Ursidae.